GGCAAAUUAUGACUUAAUUGGAGAAUUGCGUUUUUUCAACAAAUUUUGAUUUUUAUACUGGGCUUUUUUUGGAUAAAAAAUUUGUAGUAAUUAACCUUGUAUAUUCGUGAAUGGUGAGAUACAGCAAUAGAAAUAGCUCUAACUAAGUUUGUGCCAGCAGUUGCGGUUAUUCAAACAGAGCAAUGCAAUUUAUAUAGCUUUAGUUAAUUUUUGAUUAAUCUGGGAUUAAGUGAAAAAUUUAGGGGUGAAAUUUAAAUUUUUAAUUAAUUUAGUUUUUAUAAUGAUUACUAAGAAAAUUUUUUUAUAAACUAGGAUUAGAGACCCUAUUAUUAAAAUUGUAAAUUUUCAAAGUUGGAUUAGUAGUAGAUAUGUUCUUGAAAAUUAAAUGUCUUGGCGGUAUUUUAACUUAUUAGAGGAAUCUGUCUUUUAAUUGAUAAUCCACGAUUUAUUAAACUUUUAUUUUGCUUGCAUAUCGUCGUUGUUAGAAUAUUUUGGGAAAAUAAAAUUUUCGUAAAUUUUUAUUGGGAUUUAGAUCAGAUCAAGGCGUAGCUUUUAGAAGGUUAGAUGGAUUACAUUGAUGAUUUUGGAAUUGAAAAUUUCAUGAAUAUUAGGAUUUAAUAGUAAUUUUAUAUAAUUAUUAUAAGGUGAAUAAAGCUCUAGAAUAUGUACAUAUUGCCCGUCGCUUUUACUAAUUAGGUAAAAUAAGUCGUAACAUAGUAGGCCUACUGGAAGGUGGGCCUAGAAUUAU
RNAcentral lists this non-coding RNA (748 nucleotides) under Chrysomeloidea sp. 8 KM-2017. Lineage: Eukaryota; Metazoa; Arthropoda; Insecta; Coleoptera. The record is from RNAcentral.